GAUUGCGUGUUCAGUGCUGAAAAUGAGACAAAUCAUCAAUUAUUCUUUGAUUGUGUGGUUGCCAGGAAUAUAUGGUCUUUUGUCAGUCAUCAUUUCCAAAAAGAGAUAGGCACUAAUUUUGAGUCUGUAGUAUGUUUUUGGAUCUCUAAUAAGAAGAACCUAGCCUUGAACGUUAUUAGCUCUGUUGUCCUAUGGUGUUUGUGGAAAUAUAGGAACUCUAUGAUUUUUAACAACACCAUCUGGACCUCUAUUACUCUAGUAUGGAGUCUGCUCCCUGGGAUGCUCAAGUUCUGGGUAAUUCUGACCCUAGAAGCAAGCAAAAACAAGGUGGAAGCAUUCUUGAGUGCUCUGACAAAGCUUCUCCAACAACCCCUGAGGAUCUUGAGUGGCUGA
RNAcentral lists this ribosomal RNA (393 nucleotides) under Triticum aestivum (bread wheat). Its description in RNAcentral is "partial small subunit ribosomal RNA". The record is from RNAcentral. Lineage: Eukaryota; Viridiplantae; Streptophyta; Magnoliopsida; Poales; Poaceae.